This 116-nucleotide small nuclear RNA is filed under the name Microcebus murinus (gray mouse lemur). RNAcentral's name for it is "U5 spliceosomal RNA (ENSMICG00000044136.1)". It matches the Rfam family "U5 spliceosomal RNA". Rfam says of the family: U5 RNA is a component of both types of known spliceosome. The record is from Rfam by way of RNAcentral. Lineage: Eukaryota; Metazoa; Chordata; Mammalia; Primates; Cheirogaleidae.
AUACUCCAGUUUCUCUUCAGAUCAAAUAAAUCUUUCACUUUUUACUAAAGAUUUCCAUGGAGAGGAACAACUCUGAGUUUUUGAUCAAUUUUCUGAGGCCUUCCUAUGGCAAGGCU